RNAcentral lists this ribosomal RNA (446 nucleotides) under uncultured bacterium. RNAcentral describes it as "partial 16S ribosomal RNA". It matches the Rfam family "Bacterial small subunit ribosomal RNA", at positions 338 to 795 of the family's 1533-position model. The record is from RNAcentral.
CCUACGGGUGGCAGCAGUCGAGAAUCAUUCACAAUGGGGGAAACCCUGAUGGUGCGACGCCGCGUGGGGGAAUGAAGGUCUUCGGAUUGUAAACCCCUGUCAUGUGGGAGCAAAUUAAAAAGAUAGUACCACAAGAGGAAGAGACGGCUAACUCUGUGCCAGCAGCCGCGGUAAUACAGAGGUCUCAAGCGUUGUUCGGAAUCACGGGGCGUAAGGCGUGCGUAGGCUGUUUCGUAAGUCGUGUGUGAAAGGCGCGGGCUCAACCCGCGGACGGCACAUGAUACUGCGAGACUAGAGUAAUGGAGGGGGGACCGGAAUUCUCGGUGUAGCAGUGAAAUGCGUAGAUAUCGAGAGGAACACUCGUGGCGAAGGCGGGUUCCUGGACAUUAACUGACGCUGAGGCACGAAGGCGAGGGGAGCGAAAGGGAUUAGAUACCCGAGUAGUC